RNAcentral lists this transfer RNA (72 nucleotides) under Bos taurus (domestic cattle). It matches the Rfam family "tRNA". Rfam says of the family: Transfer RNA (tRNA) molecules are approximately 80 nucleotides in length. Their secondary structure includes four short double-helical elements and three loops (D, anti-codon, and T loops). The record is from Rfam by way of RNAcentral. Lineage: Eukaryota; Metazoa; Chordata; Mammalia; Artiodactyla; Bovidae. RNAcentral also lists the same sequence under 4 other names.
UCCCUGGUGGCUCAGAUGGUAAAGCAUCUGCCUACAACGUGGGAGACCCAGGUUCGAUCCCUGGGUUGGGAA